Molecule: ribosomal RNA, 410 nt
Filed under: uncultured Anoxybacillus sp.
Lineage: Bacteria; Bacillati; Bacillota; Bacilli; Caryophanales; Anoxybacillaceae
Description: bacterial SSU rRNA
Rfam family: Bacterial small subunit ribosomal RNA
Source: RNAcentral
GGUCUUGACCAUCCCCUCGACAACCCGAGAGAUCGGGCGGUUCCCCCUUCGGGGGGACAGGGUGACAGGUGGUGCAUGGUUGUCGUCAGCUCGUGUCGUGAGAUGUUGGGUUAAGUCCCGCAACGAGCGCAACCCUCGACCUUAGUUGCCAGCAUUCAGUUGGGCACUCUAAGGUGACUGCCGGCUAAAAGUCGGAGGAAGGUGGGGAUGACGUCAAAUCAUCAUGCCCCUUAUGACCUGGGCUACACACGUGCUACAAUGGGCGGUACAAAGGGUCGCGAACCCGCGAGGGGGAGCCAAUCCCAAAAAGCCGCUCUCAGUUCGGAUUGCAGGCUGCAACUCGCCUGCAUGAAGCCGGAAUCGCUAGUAAUCGCGGAUCAGCAUGCCGCGGUGAAUACGUUCCGGGCCUU